CCUCUACUCCUACCGGGAGGCAGCAGUGGGGAAUAUUGCACAAUGGGCGCAAGCCUGAUGCAGCGACGCCGCGUGAGGGAUGACGGCCUUCGGGUUGUAAACCUCUUUCAGUAGGGAAGAAGCGAAAGUGACGGUACCUGCAGAAGAAGCGCCGGCUAACUACGUGCCAGCAGCCGCGGUAAUACGUAGGGCGCAAGCGUUAUCCGGAAUUAUUGGGCGUAAAGAGCUCGUAGGCGGUUUGUCGCGUCUGCCGUGAAAGUCCGGGGCUCAACUCCGGAUCUGCGGUGGGUACGGGCAGACUAGAGUGAUGUAGGGGAGACUGGAAUUCCUGGUGUAGCGGUGAAAUGCGCAGAUAUCAGGAGGAACACCGAUGGCGAAGGCAGGUCUCUGGGCAUUAACUGACGCUGAGGAGCGAAAGCAUGGGGAGCGAACAGGAUUAGAUACCCUGGUAGUCCAUGCCGUAAACGUUGGGCACUAGGUGUGGGGGACAUUCCACGUUUUCCGCGCCGUAGCUAACGCAUUAAGUGCCCCGCCUGGGGAGUACGGCCGCAAGGCUAAAACUCAAAGGAAUUGACGGGGGCCCGCACAAGCGGCGGAGCAUGCGGAUUAAUUCGAUGCAACGCGAAGAACCUUACCAAGGCUUGACAUGGACCGGACCGGGCUGAAACAGUCCCUACCCCUUUG
This 684-nucleotide ribosomal RNA is filed under the name Arthrobacter sp. RNAcentral describes it as "bacterial SSU rRNA". It matches the Rfam family "Bacterial small subunit ribosomal RNA", at positions 330 to 1023 of the family's 1533-position model. The record is from RNAcentral. Lineage: Bacteria; Bacillati; Actinomycetota; Actinomycetes; Micrococcales; Micrococcaceae.